AUUGAACGCUGGCGGCAGGCCUAACACAUGCAAGUCGAGCGGAGCGGCGGGCGGGUGAGUAAUGCCUAGGAGUCUGCCUGGUAGUGGGGGAUAACGUCCGGAAACGGGGGCUAAUACCGCAUACUAUCAGAUGAGCCUAGGUCGGAUUAGCUAGUUGGGGGGGUAACGGCCUACCAAGGCGACGAUCCGUAACUGGUCUGAGAGGAUGAUCAGUCACACUGGAACUGAGACACGGUCCAGAAUCCUACGGGAGGCAGCAGGGGGGAAUAUUGGACAAUGGGCGAAAGCCUGAGCCAGCCAUGCCGCGUGUGUGAAGAAGGUCUUGGGAUUGUAAAGCACUUUAAGUUGGGAGGCGUUACCAACAGAAUACGCACCGGCUAACUUCGUGCCAGCAGCCGCGGUAAUAC
RNAcentral lists this ribosomal RNA (407 nucleotides) under uncultured bacterium. RNAcentral's name for it is "partial 16S ribosomal RNA". It matches the Rfam family "Bacterial small subunit ribosomal RNA", at positions 30 to 526 of the family's 1533-position model. The record is from RNAcentral.